This 497-nucleotide ribosomal RNA is filed under the name uncultured bacterium. Its description in RNAcentral is "partial 16S ribosomal RNA". It matches the Rfam family "Bacterial small subunit ribosomal RNA", at positions 28 to 507 of the family's 1533-position model. The record is from RNAcentral.
GACGAACGCUGGCGGCGUGCCUAAUACAUGCAAGUUGAGCGCUGAAGGUUGGUACUUGUACCAACUGGAUGAGCAGCGAACGGGUGAGUAACGCGUGGGGAAUCUGCCUUUGAGCGGGGGACAACAUUUGGAAACGAAUGCUAAUACCGCAUAAAAACUUUAAACACAAGUUUUAAGUUUGAAAGAUGCAAUUGCAUCACUCAAAGAUGAUCCCGCGUUGUAUUAGCUAGUUGGUGAGGUAAAGGCUCACCAAGGCGAUGAUACAUAGCCGACCUGAGAGGGUGAUAGGCCACAUUGGGACUGAGACACGGCCCCAACUCCUACGGGAGGCAGCAGUAGGGAAUCUUCGGUAAUGGACGAAAGUCUGACCGAGCAACGCCGCGUGAGUGAAGAAGGUUUUCGGAUCGUAAAACUCUGUUGGUAGAGAAGAACGUUGGUGGGAGUGGAAAGCUCAUCAAGUGACGGUAACUACCCAGAAAGGGACGGCUAACUACGUG